Pongo pygmaeus (Bornean orangutan) is the source of this 1121-nucleotide non-coding RNA. The record is from the annotation of a RefSeq genome assembly. Lineage: Eukaryota; Metazoa; Chordata; Mammalia; Primates; Hominidae.
AGCAUCUAUGUCAGGGCCGGCCAGGACAUGUGACUGUAAACAGAAGUUUUUAACUUUUUUAACUCAAAGAGGGUAUGUGUCUGGGUUAAUGGAAAGCUUCAGGACCCUCAGAAAACAUUACUAACAAGCAAAUGAAAGGUGUAUCUGGAAGAUUAUGUUCUAACAGACUCUUCCUUUUCAUUGAUCCAAUAAUGCACUCAGGGAGAUGGCCGGGCAUAUUGAGGACAGGAAGAGAGAAAUGAAAACACAGCUUUUUAAGUUGUUCUUAAAAAGAACAACACAGGCUUGUGCCAAACAUCAUCUGGGUGGAUUUAGGUGAUUGAGGAGAAGAAAGACACAGGAGUGAAAUUCUGUAAUCACAAGUGAGGAGUUCUACACUCAGGCUGAGCCAACAGACUUUUCUGACCUGACAACGAGGGCGGCACAGGAUGCUCAGUGCAGAGAGGAAGAAGCAGGUGGUCUCUGCAGCUGGAAGCUCAGCUCCCACCCAGCUGCUUUGCAUGUCCCUCCCAGCUGCCCUACCUUCCAGAGCCCAUAUCAAUGCCUGGGUCAGAGCUCUAGGGAGGAACUGCUCAGUUACGACCCAGAGGGAACCAUGGAAGCCCCAGCACAGCUUCUCUUCCUCCUGCUACUCUGGCUCCCAGAUACCACCGGAGAAAUUGUGUUGACGCAAUCUCCAGCCACCCUGUCUUUGUCUCCAGGGGAAAGAGCCACCAUCUCCUGCAGGGCCAGUCAGAGUGUUAGCAACUACUUAGCCUGGUACCAGCAGAAACCUGGGCAGUCGCCCAGGCUCCUCAUCUAUGAUGCAUCCAACAGGGCCACUGGCAUCCCAGCCAGGUUCAGUGGCAGUGGGUCUGGGACAGACUUCACUCUCACCAUCAGCAGCCUAGAGCCUGAAGAUUUUGCAGUUUACUACUGUCAGCAGUAUAAUAACCAGACUCCCACAGUGAUUCAACAUGAAACAAAAACCUCAACAAGACCAUCAGUGUUUACUAGAUUAUUAUACCAGCUGCUUCCUUUACAGACAGCUAGUGUGGUGGCCACUCAGUUUUAGCAUCUCUGCUCUAUUUGGCCAUUUUGGAGUUCAAGAUGUCAAAUCCAAAAUUACUUAUGUUAGUCCA